Molecule: long non-coding RNA, 924 nt
Organism: Mus musculus (house mouse)
Lineage: Eukaryota; Metazoa; Chordata; Mammalia; Rodentia; Muridae
Product: predicted gene, 32594
Exons: 2
Source: RefSeq, a predicted model, not a curated record
CAUGUAUGAGUGUGCAUGUGAGUAUGUAAAUGUAUAUGGGUGUGUGUUGAGGAAUAUAGGGAAACAGAGACAGAACAUCGAGGAGGAAUCAGUUGCCUUGCUCCAUAGCACAGUGGGGUUGCUGCUGUCAGGAGUCAUUUAGUGUUUAGUAUUUAUUCAAAUAGCUAAAGGAAAAGAUUGAGUGUUCUCAGCACUACAACAUGCCCAGUGUGAGAUGACAGGCACAGUGAUCUGCUGCUGUUGAUCACUGAACUCACAGAUGCCAGAGCACCACCCAGCACCCAGGAACAUGCACAGUUAUCAUGUCAGUGUGCUGCCUAAUUUUAUGUCAAGUUGACAUAAACUACAGUCAUUUAAGAAGAUGGAAGCUCAGUCAAUAAAGGGCCCCACAACAGAAUCCUGUGAACCAUUCUCCAGAUUGAUGAUUCAGGGGCAAGGCCCAGCUCAUUGCGGGUGAUUCUGUCUCUGGGCUGGUGGUCCUGGGCUCUAUAGGAAAACAGGCUGAGCAAGUCAUGGAAGCAAGCCAGUAAGCAGCACUCCUCCAUGGCCUCUGCUCCUGCCUCCAGGUUGCUGCCUUGAGUUCCUGCCCCUGGAUGAAGAACUUAUCAGCUGUAAGGGUCACUGUGACUGCCUUGGGCAGGUGCUGGCUAUGUUCUCAUGGGAUCAUGUGAGAUGGUAUGCAUGAGGACUUAGCACGAGGCAUACAUGGUAGCUGCCAUCGUCCCUGGAGCUAGCAUGAUCUCAUCUCUCCUGGCUGGAUGUUCAUUUGAUGAGAGUCCAAGGACAGAAGUUUCUGGCCCCUUUCUGGUGGAACCAGCUCAUCGUUUCCAAUCUUCGGGGUUGGCAGCUGAUGGGGUUCAUCCACGGGUGUCACUGAUCUUUAUUUAGGAUGCUGAAAAGCUGUGAGGAAUUUCUUCUCUGAGC